RNAcentral lists this ribosomal RNA (1159 nucleotides) under uncultured bacterium. RNAcentral's name for it is "bacterial SSU rRNA". It matches the Rfam family "Bacterial small subunit ribosomal RNA", at positions 120 to 1226 of the family's 1533-position model. The record is from RNAcentral.
GGAUUUUUCUAGUGUGGGGGGGAAUAGCUUCGGGGAACUCGAAUUAAUUACCGCAUACGACCUACGGGAGAAAGGGCGCGCUUGUUUACUGCUCUCGCUAUUAGAUGAGCCUAAGUCGGAUUAGCUAGAUGGUGGGGUAAAGGCCUACCAUGGCGACGAUCUGUAGCUGGUCUGAGAGGAUGAUCAGCCACACCGGGACUGAGACACGGCCCGGACUCCUACGGGAGGCAGCAGUGGGGAAUAUUGGACAAUGGGGGCAACCCUGAUCCAGCCAUGCCGCGUGUGUGAAGAAGGCCUUUUGGUUGUAAAGCACUUUAAGCAGUGAAGAAGACUCCAUGGUUAAUACCCAUGGACGAUGACAUUAGCUGCAGAAUAAGCACCGGCUAACUCUGUGCCAGCAGCCGCGGUAAUACAGAGGGUGCAAGCGUUAAUCGGAAUUACUGGGCGUAAAGCGAGCGUAGGUGGCUUGAUAAGUCAGAUGUGAAAUCCCCGGGCUUAACCUGGGAACUGCAUCUGAUACUGUUAGGCUAGAAUAGGUGAGAGGAAGGUAGAAUUCCAGGUGUAGCGGUGAAAUGCGUAGAGAUCUGGAGGAAUACCGAUGGCGAGGCAGCCACCUGGGUCAACACUGACGCUCAUGUACGAAAGCGUGGGGAGCAAACGGGAUUAGAUACCCCGGUAGUCCACGCCGUAAACGAUGUCUACUAGAAGCUCGGAGCCUCGGUUCUGUUUUUCAAAGCUAACGCAUUAAGUAGACCGCCUGGGGAGUACGGGCCGCCAAGGUUAAAACUCAAAUGAAUUUGACGGGGGGCCCGCACAAGCGGUUGGAGCAUUGUUGGUUUAUUUCGAUGCAACGCGGAAGAACCUUUACCUUACACUUUGACAAUAACAGAAGAACCUUACCAAAAGAUUGGUUUGGGUGGCCUUUCCGGAACUCUUGAAUACAGUGGCUGCAAUGGCCUUGUUCGUCCAGCUUCGUGUUGUGAAAAAUGUUGGGGUUAAAGUUCCCGGCAAACGGAGCGCAACCCCUAUUCCUAAGUUGGCUAAGCAGGGUAAUGCUUGAGAAACUCUUAGGAACUUGCCGUGUACAAACCUGGAAGGAGGUGGGCAAUGACUUCAGGUCAUUACUUGCCCUUAACGGCCCUGGCUUAACUCCUGAGCU